CACGCAACGUCUCUGCGCAGGCGCGGGGCGCCAGCUUCUGGUAUUUUCGACACGUCUGCUGCUCCUCUGUUCCCCUCCUUUUUGGACGUUGGACGUCGGAGGUCGAGGUUGUGUGUCUGUCAUUCAGAAGAAGCAGCGAAAAGCCUCUCUCCGUCCUUAACUUCAGAAGGAAGUUGUCCGUUGGGCCUUUCUCUUCUUGAGUGAGGCGUCGACGGCCCGUGGUGGGUUUUCUGGUGACGGGGUGGCCCUGCGGUCGGUUACGUCAAGGCGAGCGUAGCCGGGGCCCGGACGGGGACGGUGGAGGGCGAGAAGGCCGGCAGCAGGCGGCGCCACAGCCCGGAGUUCCGGAGGCCGGGCGGCUCGUUUCUUUCUCGGCCCGAGGCUGCCCGCGCGGCUCACUUCGGGACUUCACUUCUGUUUUGUUUCCUCUUGUUUGUUUUUAGGAACUGAGUUUUCGGGCAGGGGUCGUCGAAGAAAAGGAAGCCCGGAAGCUGCCGUCCGAGAUGUCCAGCUACGUGAACGCCCUGUGGCCGGGCUCGCCGCACAAGGCCUCCCCCUCGUCGUCGCGGUCGGGCCCGUCCAGCCGGCUGUCCUCGGCGUCCGGGAGCCGCUCGCCCAGGAGCUCUCCGUCCCGAUCCAUAGUCUCAAGUCGGUCGUGGUCGCGGAGCCGCAGCCGCAGCCGCAGCCGCAGCGCGCCCUGGCGGAGGAGCAGGUCGAGGUCUCGCUCCCGAAGGCGCCACCGGAGGAGGUACCGGCGCUACUCGCGCUCGUACUCGCGGAGCCGCUCGCGCCCCCGCAGCCGCCGGUACCGGGAGAGGCACCACGGCUCCUCCAGGAGGUCCUACCGGUCCCUCAGCCGCCCCCGCUCUCGCGGCCGCUCGCAUUACCGGAGGGCCUACGCCUUCGCGCGGGACCGCCGUUACUACGGCUUCGGCUGCACCGUCUACCCGGAGGAGCGCAGAGGCUGGAGAGGGCGAUCCCGGACCAGGUCGCGGAGCCCAACCCCAUUUCGGCUGAGUGAGAAGGAUCGAAUGGAGCUGUUAGAAAUAGCAAAAGCCAAUGCCGCAAAAGCAUUAGGAACAGCCAACUUUGACUUGCCAGCUAGUCUCAGAACUGUUUCUGUAUCUAAAGAAACCAACCGUGGAACAGCUGUACUGAAUAAUAGUGCAAAGUCUGAGGUAAGUAUUUCAGAUUUAGCCAAACAAAGUCUUCAGAAAACUACUACCAGAAAGAUCUGAUUAGCCAUUUUUAUUUGAUUUGCCUUAGACUGCUUCCUGGAAAGGCUAGCUAAAUAUAAUUUAAAAUAACAGAUCUGACAAUAGUAGAUAGUCUCCCCCCGUGAAAAUGGGAGACUAAUGAACUUUAUUUUCAGUUGGCACAGUACUAGUUACUUUCAUAAUUGUAGCUGGUACUUUGGUGAUUUCUAUGUAGUUACCAAGUUUUUCUAGCUAGUUUUUUACGGAGUAUUUAUCUGUAGCGCUCAUUGGCAGCAUUAUGUUCCCACAAAUUCUGUACUCAACAUACAGUAUAGUUUAUCUGCUUUAUUUCUGUCUUAUAGAAAUCAUGAAUGUGGUCUCCAGACAUUGAUGAAGAAAAUCUGUUGGUAAUUGAUACAUGGGCAAAAGCAUCAGAGGUUUAACUAAUUUGAAGUUUAUGUUGACACACUGAAAACUUAGCUUUUUGUUGGUAGAUCCCUGUGCAUGCUAGAAUUUGGGACAGAUGUUUUGAGAGAUUACAGAAGAAGAGGCCUGCUUCACUUGCAGAUAAGUUUAUUACAAUUCUCCAGAAAUGUGCAGCAUAAAAUUCAUAGCUUAAAGGUUUAAGGUAGUUAGGAAUUGAUAACACUCAGUUAACAUAGGAAAGAUGGGUUACCUGUCAUUCAGACCCAGAUGUGGGUUUGCCUAAGUAUUAGUGGUGGACAAAAAAGAUCUUCGUUCAUUCACUUUUUCAGACGGUUAGGUGCCCAACUGGAUGGGCAAAUGCCUUAUUCUUUGAAACUAGGUGUUUUCUGGUAUGACUUGACUUUCAAAGUUACUUGAAUUUGCAUCAGGGGGAUAUAAUACUGCUUUAUGGGGAAGAGUGUCUUAAGCCUAUCAUUGAAUCAAUUUUGUUAUGGGGAAAACUCAACAGAGUACUGUGUUGUUUAUUUUAGGAUGUUAACUAUUUGGUUACAUCCAACUUGAUUUGUGUCUCUACAAGUGAAUUUGUAAUACAAUUGGGCUGCUUUUUAUACCUACAAGGGUAUGGUUAUUUUAAGUUUACUUUCUCUUACCUGUUUAGCUGUCGGAUAAGUUAACAGAAGAUGAAACAGAAAAUCCCAACGAGAAGUCGUCCCAGCAAAAAAGCAUAGCUUUUAGCUCUA
This is a non-coding RNA of Kogia breviceps (pygmy sperm whale), 2362 nucleotides long. NCBI's taxonomy places the organism in Eukaryota, Metazoa, Chordata, Mammalia, Artiodactyla, Physeteridae. The record is from RefSeq and is a predicted model, not a curated record.